Molecule: long non-coding RNA, 385 nt
Organism: Carassius auratus (goldfish)
Lineage: Eukaryota; Metazoa; Chordata; Actinopteri; Cypriniformes; Cyprinidae
Exons: 5
Source: RefSeq, a predicted model, not a curated record
ACACUGAUAAUUCCCUGAGAUGAAGUGUGAUUUAUUUAGGAGGUGAAGGAUGCCUGUCAGAAUCAUCUGCAUCUGAAACAUGCAUCCCAGAAUAAUAAACACUACUGCUGUAAAUCAACAGAAGUGACAUCAUUUUGGAAGGAAAAUGGCAGCACAAACAUCAUUCGUCCCUGUUCAGGAAGGAACACAGCAUCAGACACUAUAAACCAGAGCUGGUCCCAGGACACAAGACUGCGCAGAUGUGAUCUUUGGCAAGGGCGAGAGGCACUUUGAGUGAUCAGAUGCACCAUUUUCAACCAUAAAACACAGGUUUAGGAUCCUACAGAUGCACAUUAUGGGAGGAACCCAAGUCAUAUCUACAGACCAGAAGUUACCCAGAAUGCAU